AAGCAUUGUGGUAGGUGCGGAGGACUGCACCGCAUGCUAGGCCUGGGCUGACGAACCACAGCCAGUCAUUUCUUCAUUCCUUCAUUCACUCAGAACCAGUGGAUUCAGCCCCUGCUCUGUACCAGUGUCUGGGCCGGGCAUUAGAGGGAUGGCAGUGAGUGAGAGACAUGGCUCUCGCCCUGGUGUAACUUCCAGUCCAGCAGAGAAGACAGACUUACAGAGUCAUUACAAUGACACUCAAUGACAGAUGGAGUUUCACUCUUGUCGCCCAGGCUGGAGUGCAAUGGCAGGAUCUCGGCUCACUGCAAACUCUGCCUUCCAGGUUCAAGUGAUUCUCCUGCCUCAGCCUCCCGAGUAGCUGGGACUACAGAUAUGCACCACUACACUUGGCUAAUUUUGUAUUUUUAGUAGAGUCAGGGGUUUGCCAUGUUGGCCAGGCUGGUCUCGAACUGCUGACCUUGAGUGAUUCACCCACUUUGGCCUCCCAAACUGCUGGGAUUACAGGCAUGAGCCACCAUGCCCAGCCUACACUGAGAACUUCUGCUCACACAUCUGUCUCCCCCUAGACUGUGGCCCCUUGGAGGGUAGGGUCUGCAUCUUAUCUAUAUUUAUGACCCUAGCUAUUAGCAUAGAACACUGGCUUGCUGUGGGAGCUUAACAAAUGCUUGUUGAUUGGGUGGCUGGAUUUUUUCAUUUUUCCUCUUCAUCCAGAUAUUUUGAUCUCACAUGUACACAGGCUGAUUUCUUCCCAUGCCUGUGACUUGAGUGCUGGAAUUUCUUCUACUUUCUUCUUCUUCUUUGUUUUUCUU
Molecule: long non-coding RNA, 809 nt
Filed under: Homo sapiens (human)
Lineage: Eukaryota; Metazoa; Chordata; Mammalia; Primates; Hominidae
Description: HSALNT0291420
Source: RNAcentral